Molecule: ribosomal RNA, 262 nt
Filed under: Micrococcus luteus
Lineage: Bacteria; Bacillati; Actinomycetota; Actinomycetes; Micrococcales; Micrococcaceae
Description: partial 16S ribosomal RNA
Rfam family: Bacterial small subunit ribosomal RNA
Source: RNAcentral
GGCUCAGGAUGAACGCUGGCGGCGUGCUUAACACAUGCAAGUCGAACGAUGAAGCCCAGCUUGCUGGGUGGAUUAGUGGCGAACGGGUGAGUAACACGUGAGUAACCUGCCCUUAACUCUGGGAUAAGCCUGGGAAACUGGGUCUAAUACCGGAUAGGAGCGUCCACCGCAUGGUGGGUGUUGGAAAGAUUUAUCGGUUUUGGAUGGACUCGCGGCCUAUCAGCUUGUUGGUGAGGUAAUGGCUCACCAAGGCGACGACCGG